GACGAACGCUGGCGGCGUGCCUAAUACAUGCAAGUCGAACGCAGUGGGGACGGGGGCGUAACACGUGGGUAACCUCCCAUCAGAGGGGAUAACACUUGGAAACAGGUGCUAAACCGAUACUGAUGUAGGGACCCGCGUGGGAUUAGCUAGUUGGUGAGGUAAAGGCUCACCAAGGCCACGAUGCAUAGCCGACCUGAGAGGGUGACCGGCCACACUGGGACUGAGACACGGCCCAGACUCCUACGGGAGGCAGCAGUAGGGAAUCUUCGGCAAUGGACGAAAGUCUGACCGAGCAACGCCGCGUGAGUGAAGAAGGUUUUCGGAUUGUAAAACUCUUUUAUUAGAGAAGCGGUAUCUAACCAGAAAGCCACGGCUAACUACGUGCCAGCAGCCGCGGUAAUUC
RNAcentral lists this ribosomal RNA (403 nucleotides) under uncultured bacterium. RNAcentral describes it as "partial 16S ribosomal RNA". It matches the Rfam family "Bacterial small subunit ribosomal RNA", at positions 28 to 526 of the family's 1533-position model. The record is from RNAcentral.